This 232-nucleotide unclassified non-coding RNA is filed under the name Hevea brasiliensis (rubber tree). The record is from RNAcentral. Lineage: Eukaryota; Viridiplantae; Streptophyta; Magnoliopsida; Malpighiales; Euphorbiaceae.
UGGCGGCGAGAGGAGCUUUGCUAAAGUACUUUAGAGUUAAUGUUGAGACCGUACCUCAAAACCCUAGACUCAAUACCGGCCUCUCUGCCCUUUCAUUCAAUGCAAUAUUUCGCCGUUUCUCUGAGGAGGUGAGGGGCUCCUUCCUCGACAAAUCCGAGGUCGCGGAUCGUGUCAUCAGUGUCGUCAAGAACUUCCAGAAGGUCGAUCCUUCCAAGGUCACACCAAAUGCCCA